This 225-nucleotide unclassified non-coding RNA is filed under the name plant metagenome. Its description in RNAcentral is "partial contains small subunit ribosomal RNA, internal transcribed spacer 1, and 5.8S ribosomal RNA". The record is from RNAcentral.
UCUCCGUUGGUGAACCAACGGAGGGAUCAUUACAGGACUCGCAAGACUCCUACAACCCUGUGAACUUAACUAUAAGCACGUUGCUUCGGCGGGUGUCUCGGAGGGGGUUCUCCCUCCCCGAGACGCUAAACCCGCCGGCAGCCUACUAUACUCUGUCUCUUUGCGUUGGCAUCUCGAGUACAAUCAAACAAGUUAAAACUUUCAACAACGGAUCUCUUGGUUCUG